Long non-coding RNA from Oncorhynchus gorbuscha (pink salmon), 497 nucleotides. RefSeq lists it as uncharacterized. Lineage: Eukaryota; Metazoa; Chordata; Actinopteri; Salmoniformes; Salmonidae. The transcript is spliced from 5 exons. The record is from RefSeq and is a predicted model, not a curated record.
ACAGGUUGCCUAACAUUGGCAACACUUGCUUCCUAAAUGCCACCCUGCAGUGCCUCCUGGUCCUGCCUUCCUUCUCAAAGGAAAUCCUACGCCAGGAACAACUCUGGAACUCCUCCCCCUUCUCCAACCUGCUCAGUGGCGCAAACCAGGCCUCAAAAGCAGACCUCAUGUGGAAGGUCAAGUACUCCUUGUCGGGAUAUGAUUUGAAGUAUCUGGGGGACACGCAACAGGACGCACACGAGUUACUUGUGAAUAUGCUGUGCUGUGCCAGCUGAAGGAGGAGGGAAUGAUACUGAAGACACUCGGGGUGAACUAUACCUGCCCUGUUUCCCAGCUGGAGUUCCAGCUUGUCUCAGUGCGCACAUGUACCAGGGCGAAAAGGUUGAAUGAAUUCACAUGUGCGGGCUGCAAAGGCCUCUACAGCUCAAAAGUGGAGCAGUUCCACACACUGCCUCUUGUGCUGGUUCUGCACCUGAAGAGGUUCGGAGGACCUGGGG